Molecule: long non-coding RNA, 666 nt
Organism: Oreochromis aureus
Lineage: Eukaryota; Metazoa; Chordata; Actinopteri; Cichliformes; Cichlidae
Exons: 3
Source: RefSeq, a predicted model, not a curated record
GGUAACACUCAUGUUAAAGCACUCAGGUUAACACAGUGGUGGCCAGCCAGCUGGGGCCGUGGGUUCUUGGCAGCUUCCUCCCACAGUUGAAAACAUGUACAGGUUAUGUUAACUGGUUGCACUGUGAUAACCAAUCAGGGCUUAGCAGAGUCAGAAGCAGGAAAUACUUCUCACAUGUGCGCUCGUGAUGGUUGAAGAGUCAUGAAUGAACCCAACUCCAUCCUUAUUUAUGACUUUGUGGAAAACACUGCCCAUCCUCCCAGCAGAGAUGUGAGCAGAGGAGGAGACAUGCGGCUCUUCUGAUUCCUUCUUUUUCAAUCCCUCCAUUUAAAAGCACAAGUUCACACUGCAGUAGUUGUGCGUCUUAAAUAUCUGCACAUCCUCUACAGAGAAAACAACUGUGAGUAAGAGGGACAGCUCCAUUUAAAAUGUAUUUAUACUUCAGUUUAUGUAAUAUAUAUUGGGACAUUUAUGUAUAACAGCUAUUUUGUGAUAUUUUGUAUUACUGAAUAUGACACUUUACCUUGUUUGUUACUGUUCUUAUUUAUUGGAGCACCUGUCAUCACAUACUUUCCUCUGGGAUUAAUAAACUAUUCUGAUUUCUCUGAAUCUCAUUUAUGCUCCAGAUCAGUUUGCAGACACUGAAAGCACAGUAAGGUGGUUUAA